This 250-nucleotide ribosomal RNA is filed under the name uncultured bacterium. RNAcentral's name for it is "partial 16S ribosomal RNA". It matches the Rfam family "Bacterial small subunit ribosomal RNA", at positions 57 to 305 of the family's 1533-position model. The record is from RNAcentral.
GCAAGUCGAACGGUAAGUUGAGAGCUUGCUCUCAACACGAGUGGCGCACGGGUGCGUAACGCGUAUGCAAUCUACCCUUUUCUGGAGAAUAGCCCUUGGAAACGAGGAAUAAUACUCCAUAGUAUAACGAUUUCGCAUGUUAUUGUUAUUAAAGCUUCGGCGGAAAAGGAUGAGCAUGCGUCCCAUUAGUUAGUUGGUAAGGUAACGGCUUACCAAGACUGCGAUGGUUAGCUGGUCUGAGAGGAUGAUC